This 253-nucleotide ribosomal RNA is filed under the name uncultured bacterium. Its description in RNAcentral is "partial 16S ribosomal RNA". It matches the Rfam family "Bacterial small subunit ribosomal RNA", at positions 524 to 776 of the family's 1533-position model. The record is from RNAcentral.
UACGAAGGGUGCAAGCGUUACUCGGAAUUACUGGGCGUAAAGCGUGCGCAGGCGGCGCGUUAAGACAGGUGUGAAAGCCCCGAGCUUAACUUGGGAAUUGCGCUUGUGACUGGCGGGCUGGAGUGUGGCAGAGGGAGGUGGAAUUCCACGUGUAGCAGUGAAAUGCGUAGAGAUGUGGAGGAACACCGAUGGCGAAGGCAGCCUCCUGGGCCAGCACUGACGCUCAUGCACGAAAGCGUGGGGAGCAAACAGG